Molecule: ribosomal RNA, 253 nt
Filed under: uncultured bacterium
Lineage: Bacteria
Description: partial 16S ribosomal RNA
Rfam family: Bacterial small subunit ribosomal RNA
Source: RNAcentral
UACAGAGGGGGCAAGCGUUGUUCGGAAUUACUGGGCGUAAAGGGCGCGUAGGCGGCCUUCUAAGUCGAACGUGAAAUCCCCGGGCUCAACCCGGGAACUGCGUCCGAUACUGGAUGGCUUGAGAUUGGGAGAGGGAUGCGGAAUUCCAGGUGUAGCGGUGAAAUGCGUAGAUAUCUGGAGGAACACCGGUGGCGAAGGCGGCAUCCUGGACCAACACUGACGCUGAGGAGCGAAAGCCAGGGGAGCAAACGGG